GACGAUGCCCCUGCUUACAUUGAACUUGACCAAAAAUGGUAGGACCCCUUUUCCUCACUUCCAAUACCCAACUGAUCUUGCCCCAUGUGACUCUUUUGUUUCCUAGAAUCAAAAUAUGUGAAAGGAAAAUAUUUUGCUGAUGUUGCGGAAGUGAAGAUAAAACGAGAGGUACUGUCAAGCAUCACAGAAGAUGAAUUUAAACAGUGUUUUGAAAACCUGAAUAAAAGAUAAGUGUAUUAGUGCAAUUGGAGAGUACUUUGAAGGAUAUUGAAGGUUUGUUCUUGAAAUUUGAAGGUUUGUUCUUGAAAUUUGAAGGUUUGUUCUUGAAAUUUGAAGGUUUGUUCUUGAAAUUUGAAGGUUUGUUCUUGAAAUUUGAAGGUUUGUUCUUGAAAUUUGAAGGUUUGUUCUUGAAAUUUGAAGGUUUGUUCUUGAAAUUUGAAGGUUUGUUCUUGAAAUUUGAAGGUUUGUUCUUGAAAUUUGAAGGUUUGUUCUUGAAAUUUGAAGGUUUGUUCUUGAAAUUUGAAGGUUUGUUCUUGAAAUUUGAAGGUUUGUUCUUGAAAUUUGAAGGUUUGUUCUUGAAAUUUGAAGGUUUGUUCUUGAAAUUUGAAGGUUUGUUCUUGAAAUUUGAAGGUUUGUUCUUGAAAUUUGAAGGUUUGUUCUUGAAAUUUGAAUAAAUAAGUUAAAAAAAGUACAGUUCCCUCUGCUUAACUCUUGUGGUGCUGUUUACAUGCCUGUGAUGAAAUGCACAGUUCUUAUUUGGGUUUUCUCCAAUUUGUCUGUUAAUUGUACCAAGCAAGAGUCCAAAAGUGAGGGCAGUUGUGGAAAAUUCAUCAGUCUUCUGUACACCACCACCAUUCAUUGAUAAAGCACACUUCUCGGAUUCUUCCUGGUACCUGCCUUUCGCACAACUAGUGUUAUUUCCACCACAAAGCACUCUGGACAAACCUCACUAGCAUUGGGUCUCAAAUCAGUAGGUAAACGCACUUUCCUGUUAACCUUCUAGUAACCACUUGCUCCACUACCCAAUAAUAGAAGAAAGUCCCAAGUCAGAUUUAGAAAACGAACACACACACACACACACACACACACACACACACACACACACACACACACAC
Long non-coding RNA from Schistocerca cancellata (South American locust), 1115 nucleotides. RefSeq lists it as uncharacterized. Lineage: Eukaryota; Metazoa; Arthropoda; Insecta; Orthoptera; Acrididae. The transcript has 2 exons. The record is from RefSeq and is a predicted model, not a curated record.